UGGGGGAUAUUGCACAAUGGGCGAAAGCCUGAUGCAGCGACGCCGCGUGGGGGAUGAAGGCUUUCGGGUUGUAAACCUCUUUCGCUAUCGAACAAGGCCCGCUUAGGGUGGGUUGAGGGUAGGUGGAGAAGAAGCGCCGGCUAACUACGUGCCAGCAGCCGCGGUAAUACGUAGGGCGCGAGCGUUGUCCGGAAUUAUUGGGCGUAAAGGGCUUGUAGGCGGCUUGUUGCGCCUGCUGUGAAAACGCGGGGCUUAACUUCGCGCGUGCAGUGGGUACGGGCAGGCAUGAGUGUGGUAGGGGUGACUGGAAUUCCAGGUGUAGCGGUGGAAUGCGCAGAUUUCUGGAGGAACACCGAUGGCGAAGGCAGGUCACUGGGCCAUUACUGACGCUGAGGAGCGAAAGCAUGGGUAGCGAACAGG
This 420-nucleotide ribosomal RNA is filed under the name bacterium. RNAcentral's name for it is "partial 16S ribosomal RNA". It matches the Rfam family "Bacterial small subunit ribosomal RNA", at positions 355 to 776 of the family's 1533-position model. The record is from RNAcentral.